UACCAGCACCCCGAGUGGUCGGGCCGAUUAUUGGGCCUAAAGCAUCCGUAGCCGGUUCUACAAGUCUUCCGUUAAAUCCACCUGCUUAACAGAUGGGCUGCGGAGGAUACUAUGGAGCUAGGAGGCGGGAGAGGCAAGCGGUACUUAGUGGGUAGGGGUAAAAUCCGUUGAUCCAUUGAAGACCACCAGUGGCGAAGGCGGCUUGCCAGAACGCACUCGACGGUGAGGGAUGAAAGCUGGGGGAGCAAACCGG
This 253-nucleotide ribosomal RNA is filed under the name uncultured bacterium. RNAcentral's name for it is "partial 16S ribosomal RNA". It matches the Rfam family "Archaeal small subunit ribosomal RNA", at positions 474 to 727 of the family's 1478-position model. The record is from RNAcentral.